CCUACGGGUGGCAGCAGUGGGGAAUAUUGGACAAUGGGGGGAACCCUGAUCCAGCCAUGCCGCGUGUGUGAAGAAGGCCCUCGGGUUGUAAAGCACUUUCAGUGAGGAAGAACGCCUGGUGGUUAAUACCCAUCAGGAAAGACAUCACUCACAGAAGAAGCACCGGCUAACUCCGUGCCAGCAGCCGCGGUAAUACGGAGGGUGCGAGCGUUAAUCGGAAUUACUGGGCGUAAAGCGCGCGUAGGUGGCUUGAUAAGCCGGUUGUGAAAGCCCCGGGCUCAACCUGGGAACGGCAUCCGGAACUGUCAAGCUAGAGUGCAGGAGAGGAAGGUAGAAUUCCCGGUGUAGCGGUGAAAUGCGUAGAGAUCGGGAGGAAUACCAGUGGCGAAGGCGGCCUUCUGGACUGACACUGACACUGGGGUGCGAAAGCGUGGGUAGCAAACAGGAUUAGAUACCCGAGUAGUC
This 465-nucleotide ribosomal RNA is filed under the name Vreelandella stevensii. RNAcentral's name for it is "partial 16S ribosomal RNA". It matches the Rfam family "Bacterial small subunit ribosomal RNA", at positions 338 to 795 of the family's 1533-position model. Lineage: Bacteria; Pseudomonadati; Pseudomonadota; Gammaproteobacteria; Oceanospirillales; Halomonadaceae. The record is from RNAcentral.